Molecule: ribosomal RNA, 497 nt
Filed under: uncultured bacterium
Lineage: Bacteria
Description: partial 16S ribosomal RNA
Rfam family: Bacterial small subunit ribosomal RNA
Source: RNAcentral
GACGAACGCUGGCGGCGUGCCUAAUACAUGCCAGUUGAGCGCUGAAGGUUGGUACUUGUACCGACUGGAUGAGCAGCGAACGGGUGAGUAACGCGUGGGGAAUCUGCCUUUGAGCGGGGGACAACAUUUGGAAACGAAUGCUAAUACCGCAUAAAAACUUUAAACACAAGUUUUAAGUUUGAAAGAUGCAAUUGCAUCACUCAAAGAUGAUCCCGCGUUGUAUUAGCUAGUUGGUGAGGUAAAGGCUCACCAAGGCGAUGAUACAUAGCCGACCUGAGAGGGUGAUCGGCCACAUUGGGACUGAGACACGGCCCAAACUCCUACGGGAGGCAGCAGUAGGGAAUCUUCGGCAAUGGACGAAAGUCUGACCGAGCAACGCCGCGGGAGUGAAGAAGGUUUUCGGAUCGUAAAACUCUGUUGGUAGAGAAGAACGUUGGUGAGAGUGGAAAGCUCAUCAAGUGACGGUAACUACCCAGAAAGGGACGGCUAACUACGUG